Molecule: ribosomal RNA, 400 nt
Filed under: uncultured bacterium
Lineage: Bacteria
Description: bacterial SSU rRNA
Rfam family: Bacterial small subunit ribosomal RNA
Source: RNAcentral
GGGGAAUAUUGCACAAUGGGGGAAACCCUGAUGCAGCAACGCCGCGUGAAGGAAGACGUAUUUCGGUAUGUAAACUUCUAUCAGCAGGGAAGAUAAUGACGGUACCUGACUAAGAAGCCCCGGCUAACUACGUGCCAGCAGCCGCGGUAAUACGUAGGGGGCAAGCGUUAUCCGGAUUUACUGGGUGUAAAGGGAGCGUAGGCGGCGAUGCAAGUCAGAAGUGAAAGCCCGGGGCUCAACCCCGGGACUGCUUUUGAAACUGUGUUGCUAGAUUGCAGGAGAGGUAAGUGGAAUUCCUAGGGUAGCGGUGAAAUGCGUAGAUAUUAGGAGGAACACCAGUGGCGAAGGCGGCUUACUGGACUGUAAAUGACGCUGAGGCUCGAAAGCGUGGGGAGCAAAC